Molecule: regulatory RNA element, 60 nt
Rfam family: gabT RNA
Source: Rfam
GAACGCCUGGAGGGUGCGCAGUCGAUCAUCGUAUGCUGCGGCGCUUGGUUCCUGACGUUC